This 122-nucleotide microRNA precursor is filed under the name Prunus persica (peach). RNAcentral's name for it is "miR156i stem-loop (ppe-MIR156i)". Its record names the gene ppe-MIR156i. The record is from miRBase by way of RNAcentral. Lineage: Eukaryota; Viridiplantae; Streptophyta; Magnoliopsida; Rosales; Rosaceae.
AUGUUGUGGUUGACAGAAGAUAGAGAGCACAAAUGAACAUAUACACCCAGUCACCCAGACCCAGGAAAAUGAUUGUGUAUGAUCAGUUUUGUGCUCUCUUUUCUUCUGCCAACAUAUUAUAU